This 200-nucleotide ribosomal RNA is filed under the name uncultured bacterium. RNAcentral describes it as "partial 16S ribosomal RNA". It matches the Rfam family "Bacterial small subunit ribosomal RNA", at positions 524 to 723 of the family's 1533-position model. The record is from RNAcentral.
GACGAGGGGUCCAAGCGUUGUUCGGAAUCAUUGGGCGUAAAGCGGGUGUAGGUGGCUCUGUAAGUCAGGAGUGAAAGCCCCAAGCUUAACUUGGGAAGUGCUUUUGAUACUGCAGAGCUUGAGUGUGGGAGAGGAUCGUGGAAUUCCUGGUGUAGUGGUGAAAUACGUAGAUAUCAGGAGGAACACCGGUGGCGAAGGCG